Python bivittatus (Burmese python) is the source of this 1423-nucleotide non-coding RNA. Lineage: Eukaryota; Metazoa; Chordata; Lepidosauria; Squamata; Pythonidae. The record is from RefSeq and is a predicted model, not a curated record.
ACAGCCUCCUGAUGAGAUUGACAUGCACUGCCUAAUCUGCCUUUGUCUCAUGCAGAAAUACCAGAAGACAUGAUGUGUCAGUAUGAAGAGUUUCUUUUCUUCAUGGGAAGAGCUGGGUUUUGUGGUAGAUUGCCUUGAUAUAUAGUGGCGAGGAACUUGAUCAUCUUGGGAAUUGGCCAAAACCACUGUAGUUGCUCAAGACCCAUGGAAUGGAGAUUGCCAACAGCUGUUCUGGGAGAAUGGUAACUUGGAACUUAUGGAUAGCCAGUUAGAUAAGACUGAUGGAAGAGCGAUUGGGUAUAUGGUAACUGCAGUGAAACUAUUAUAUGCACAAAGAUGGAAAAAUACCGACAACGGAGCAAUGGAUCAUGAAGAUGUCAGAAACUUGCAGAAAUGGUGAAACUGACCUGUUUGAGCAGGGAUAAGACAACAAGUACUUUUAUAAAAGAUCAUUUGUGACACUGAGGAAGUCUGUCUCCCAUCUUGACACUGAGAUGGCUGUUCAAGUCCACCUGGAUUUUGUCAUUGCUAGAAGAAUUAGGAAAGCAAUGCCUCAUUGAAACAUGAUACAGUUCCUCACUGCAAUAAAGGAAAAAAGGAACAGCUUUGGAGGGAAUGACAUGAAGGAGAGAAGACAAGGGUGUUUUUUCUAUUUCCUGCUUUCUGCUUCUGCAUUUCAAAUCAACAUCCUUUCAAAGCUGCUGUGGCAUCUGGGGAACCAAAUGAGUAUUUAUGAAAGAUGUUGCAGAAAAAUAUGGUGAAUAAAGGACCUUCUGAGCACAGAAUUAAUUCAAUAUUCUUGGCUUGUUGUUUGGAACAUUUUACAAACUGUUAUAAAGGAGAUCAGGUGUUCUGUCCCUCUGUUAAUUUUUAAUUUGUGACUUGCAUAUUGUGUAUACAAUAUAAAGGCAGUUCAUGUAUUGUUAGGAACAGCGUUUAUGCAUGUCACCAUUUAUGCCUCUCUUUUACUGAUUAAGAUUUAAACUGAGACAGCUGAAAAGAAUUACUCUCAGAAAAGCAGCAGACAAUGCCUAUAGAAAAACUGGUACCCAAUAAGUUCUCAAGAAGAAACAUUGUGUGAGCCAAUCCAGAACCUUUGCAAGAAAAAAAAUAGUCCAUUUUUGAAGUGUUAUUGCCUCUUAAAGUUUAAAGGAGCUUGAAGAUUAGGAGUAUUUCCAUCUGCAAGGACCUGCUUCAGAAGACUGGUUUUUUGGGGGAGGGGGGUAUUUUUGUUGUUCAGUCAUUCUGAUUCUUCAUGACCCAUUGGACAUCAUUUUGGCAGGAGUAUUGAUAACUGCUCCUUCAAGUCCUAGCAAGCUCAUGUUUGUGACAUCAGUGAUAAUAUCUAGCUAUGGUCAGUGUGAUGAACUUCUUUUGUGAAAUGGUACAUACUAACAGCAAAGAUACUGUUAUCUUCCUUGUG